CGAGUUGGUGGCUAGGGUUCCGGUGCGGUUGCGCAUGCUGGUCCGAGAGCUGCCACCGGCAGGGGAGACAUCCUUGUCGGAUGCACGGCGGGAUAAAAGCCCGGGAGAC
RNAcentral lists this small RNA (109 nucleotides) under Rhizobium sp. RNAcentral's name for it is "Guanidine-I sequence". It matches the Rfam family "Guanidine-I riboswitch aptamer". From Rfam's summary of the family: This family represents a conserved RNA structure found upstream of the ykkC and yxkD genes in Bacillus subtilis and related genes in other bacteria. The record is from RNAcentral. Lineage: Bacteria; Pseudomonadati; Pseudomonadota; Alphaproteobacteria; Hyphomicrobiales; Rhizobiaceae. RNAcentral also lists the same sequence under 2 other names.